This 448-nucleotide long non-coding RNA is filed under the name Coturnix japonica (Japanese quail). Its description in RNAcentral is "lncRNA (ENSCJPG00005006872.1)". Lineage: Eukaryota; Metazoa; Chordata; Aves; Galliformes; Phasianidae. The record is from RNAcentral.
AUGAGCACUUUGCUGCUGAACUCGACUGCAGUGAGUGGUGAGAUGCCUGUGUACUUCACCCAGUUACUUCAGCCGGCCAAACGCAGGGCAAAUCAGCUCUUCUCAGCUUUUUCUCUGCUUCCCCUGCCUGCUGAAUGUCCUCUUGACACAGAAGCUUCAGAUAAAACCACAGACCAGGUUGAAUGUGAAAUGGGAUCUGUACAGUGAGCAAAACUGCUGGAUAAGUUGCUCUGAGGAGGUUAGUACCAGUAAGUACUACAGGUGGUAUAGGGGUAGCACUACUGCUGGAGGCAGAACAAUCUUGAGGGCACCUCCUCGAAGUGUACAGCAUCACAGGCACUUCCAUUAGAGCACCACUGUGUCCCCAGACAUCCUAGAGAUGUUUUAGAGAAAAGCUUUGUUAAAGAUUUCUGUUAAAGUGAGAGAAAUAAACUGUUUGGCUCUCUCA